RNAcentral lists this transfer RNA (73 nucleotides) under Paenibacillus forsythiae. RNAcentral describes it as "tRNA-Lys". It matches the Rfam family "tRNA". From Rfam's summary of the family: Transfer RNA (tRNA) molecules are approximately 80 nucleotides in length. Their secondary structure includes four short double-helical elements and three loops (D, anti-codon, and T loops). Lineage: Bacteria; Bacillati; Bacillota; Bacilli; Caryophanales; Paenibacillaceae. The record is from RNAcentral.
GGACUCUUAGCUCAGUUGGUAGAGCAGUUGACUCUUAAUCAAUUGGUACAGGGUUCGAGUCACUGAGAGUCCA